Molecule: ribosomal RNA, 485 nt
Filed under: uncultured bacterium
Lineage: Bacteria
Description: bacterial SSU rRNA
Rfam family: Bacterial small subunit ribosomal RNA
Source: RNAcentral
UUGAACGCUGGCGGCAUGCCUUACACAUGCAAGUCGAACGGCAGCACGGGUGCUUGCACCUGGUGGCGAGUGGCGAACGGGUGAGUAAUACAUCGGAACGUACCUUAUCGUGGGGGAUAACGCAGCGAAAGCUGUGCUAAUACCGCAUACGAUCUAAGGAUGAAAGCGGGGGAUCGCAAGACCUCGCGCGAUUGGAGCGGCUGAUAUCAGAUUAGGUUGUUGGUGAGGUAAAAGCUCACCAAGCCGACGAUCUGUAGCUGGUUUGAGAGAACGACCAGCCACACUGGGACUGAGACACGGCCCAGACUCCUACGGGAGGCAGCAGUGGGGAAUUUUGGACAAUGGGCGAAAGCCUGAUCCAGCAAUGCCGCGUGCAGGAAGAAGGCCUUCGGGUUGUAAACUGCUUUUGUACGGAACGAAACGGUCUGCCCUAAUACGGUGGGCUAAUGACGGUACCGUAAGAAUAAGCACCGGCUAACUACGUG